This 201-nucleotide unclassified non-coding RNA is filed under the name Hevea brasiliensis (rubber tree). Lineage: Eukaryota; Viridiplantae; Streptophyta; Magnoliopsida; Malpighiales; Euphorbiaceae. The record is from RNAcentral.
GCUUCCAGAUCCAGUUGAAAAAGAGAAAGGGGUUAGUCUUUGGGCUAUGAUCAAAGACAAUGUCGGGAAAGAUCUAACAAGAGUUUGCCUGCCGGUGUAUUUCAAUGAGCCAAUUUCCUCCCUACAAAAGUGCUUUGAAGAUUUAGAGUACUCAUAUCUUUUAGAUAGAGCAUAUGAACAUGGAAAAUCGGGGAAUAGUCU